RNAcentral lists this ribosomal RNA (436 nucleotides) under uncultured bacterium. RNAcentral's name for it is "bacterial SSU rRNA". It matches the Rfam family "Bacterial small subunit ribosomal RNA", at positions 355 to 786 of the family's 1533-position model. The record is from RNAcentral.
UGAGGAAUAUUGGUCAAUGGGCGGGAGCCUGAACCAGCCAAGUCGCGUGAGGGAAGACGGUCUUACGGAUUGUAAACCUCUUUUGCCGGGGAGCAAAGGGCGCCACGCGUGGCGUUUCGAGAGUACCCGGAGAAAAAGCAUCGGCUAACUCCGUGCCAGCAGCCGCGGUAAUACGGAGGAUGCGAGCGUUAUCCGGAUUUAUUGGGUUUAAAGGGUGCGUAGGCGGGCCGGUAAGUCAGCGGUAAAAUAGCGGGGCUCAACCCCGUCGAGCCGUUGAAACUGCCGGUCUUGAGUGGGCGAGAAGUGCGCGGAAUGCGUGGUGUAGCGGUGAAAUGCAUAGAUAUCACGCAGAACCCCGAUUGCGAAGGCAGCGCACCGGCGCCCGACUGACGCUGAAGCACGAAAGCAGUGGGGUAGUCGAACAGGAUUAGAUACC